UACGGAGGAUCCAAGCGUUAUCCGGAUUUAUUGGGUUUAAAGGGUGCGUAGGCGGAGAAGUAAGUCAGUGGUGAAAUCUUGCAGCUUAACUGUAAAAUUGCCGUUGAUACUGCUUUUCUUGAGUACAGUUGAGGUAGGCGGAAUGUGUAAUGUAGCGGUGAAAUGCUUAGAUAUUACACAGAACACCGAUUGCGUAGGCAGCUUACUAAGCUGUAACUGACGCUGAGGCACGAAAGCGUGGGGAU
RNAcentral lists this ribosomal RNA (245 nucleotides) under uncultured bacterium. Its description in RNAcentral is "partial 16S ribosomal RNA". It matches the Rfam family "Bacterial small subunit ribosomal RNA", at positions 524 to 768 of the family's 1533-position model. The record is from RNAcentral.